This is an RNA transcript of Elgaria multicarinata webbii, 3948 nucleotides long. It is a transcript of the gene named potassium inwardly rectifying channel subfamily J member 2, with no coding region annotated. Lineage: Eukaryota; Metazoa; Chordata; Lepidosauria; Squamata; Anguidae. The record is from RefSeq and is a predicted model, not a curated record. The transcript is spliced from 2 exons.
UCCCCCUCUUAUUCCAGGCCAUGUCUCCUCGAGGCAGAUGAUUAGUUGCUAGGUGAGCUCCGAAUAUUGGAAGACUCUCUCCUCGGCGCAGUCAAGGUUUGACGGAGACACCGGCUUCUCCCUUUUUUUCCUCUGAGUGUGUUCCACUAGAACAUUCAAAACUGUUUCUCCAAAGGGUUUUGCAGAAACUCAGACUGUUUUCUAAAGCAGAAGCACCACAGUCCACAGCGGAAGCGAUGGGCAGUGUGCGAACCAACCGCUACAGCAUAGUUUCCUCGGAAGAGGACGGCAUGAAGCUGGCAACUAUGGCAGUUGCCAAUGGCUUUGGAAAUGGGAAGAGCAAGGUACACACCAGACAGCAGUGCAGGAGCCGGUUUGUCAAGAAAGAUGGCCACUGCAAUGUCCAGUUCAUUAAUGUGGGUGAAAAAGGCCAGCGUUACCUAGCAGACAUCUUUACCACUUGUGUGGACAUCCGCUGGAGGUGGAUGUUGCUCAUCUUCUGUCUGGCAUUCAUCCUCUCAUGGCUGUUUUUUGGUUGUGUUUUUUGGUUAAUUGCCUUAUUGCACGGGGACCUAGAGGUAACAGAGGUAACCGAGGUUACAGAGAUCAAAGAAAAACCUUGCGUGUCCGAAGUGCACAGCUUCACUGCAGCCUUCCUUUUCUCCAUUGAAACACAGACAACCAUUGGCUAUGGCUUUAGGUGCGUCACAGAUGAAUGCCCCAUUGCAGUCUUCAUGGUGGUUUUCCAGUCAAUAGUUGGCUGCAUCAUUGAUGCCUUCAUCAUUGGUGCUGUCAUGGCUAAGAUGGCUAAACCGAAAAAGAGAAACGAAACUCUCAUCUUCAGCCAUAAUGCUGUGGUAGCCAUGAGGGAUGGAAAACUGUGCUUGAUGUGGCGGGUUGGGAAUCUGCGCAAAAGCCAUUUGGUGGAAGCACAUGUGAGAGCGCAACUCCUCAAGUCUCGAAUCACCACUGAAGGUGAAUACAUCCCUCUAGAUCAAAUAGACAUCAAUGUUGGGUUUGACAGUGGAAUAGACCGCAUAUUUUUGGUCUCACCCAUUACAAUUGUCCAUGAAAUAGAUGAAGAAAGUCCUUUGUAUGACUUCAGUAAGCAGGACAUGGACAAUGCAGACUUUGAAAUUGUAGUGAUAUUAGAAGGCAUGGUGGAAGCCACUGCCAUGACCACCCAGUGCCGUAGCUCAUAUCUGGCAAAUGAAAUCCUCUGGGGCCACCGUUAUGAGCCUGUACUAUUUGAAGAGAAAAACUACUACAAAGUGGAUUAUUCUAGGUUCCACAAAACAUAUGAAGUGCCGAACACACCCCUUUGUAGUGCCAGAGACUUAGCAGAAAAGAAAUACAUCCUCUCUAACGCGAAUUCAUUUUGCUAUGAGAAUGAAGUGGCCCUCACGGGCAAAGAGGAAGACGACAGUGACAAUGGGGUGCCUGAAAGCACUAGUACAGAUACCCAUCCAGACAUGGACCAUCACAGCCAAGCAGGUGUGCCCUUAGAGCCUAGACCUUUAAGGCGAGAAUCUGAAAUAUGACUGAAAUAUAUGAUUUCUGCUAUUGUUAAAAUAUAUCUGUCAGUAAUGCGAAGUGGCUGCAAACAGUUUUUCAGAUGAUGGUACUGUUGAACAAAGACAGGCAUACAGCCCUGAGGGGUCAACUGAGGCUGGUUUUUAAGUGCUGUCUUCAGAAGAGGUACAGCAAAAGCAUGAACUUGGAACAUGAAGCACUAUGUCUACGCAUACUAGAAGGCACAUAUAUGUUGUAGAAUAAAUUAUGUAUAUAUUUUUUUACAAAACUUGAACUUGCAGGCAAGCUUUGGUUGAAUUGUAUUGUUGGUCAUCUCCCACCCCCCUGCACUCCCCAAAAUGCUUCUGUCUUGGGAACAAGAAUGUUUUUAAUGGCAUAACAAAGGCAAGAGACUGCCUUACUUUUUUUUUUAAGUUGCUGCUAACUACAUGAACACAAAUGGUAAUUAUUUUUUGUUGCAGUGUAGUAUUCGUUAUAUACUUUUAAACCAAACAAAGGGUGGGGGGACCUGCAGUGUUGAACUUCUUUGUUUCAAAGCUCUCGGUCAGUCAAACAAAGUGACUGGUGAUGCUAGGGAAUCUGAAUAUGUGUUGAGGCCAGUAGUUUGGUGGCUAGAAUCAAUUUCUCUCUGUACUAUCCAGUUACAUAAGGAGUGUUAUGUAAUGCUAGGCCAUGCAGUAGCCCUACAGCAAGAUUUUUUUAAAAAACAAAAAAAUAGGAAUGGAAUAAGAUAUUUUUUCCAUCUAAAAUAUGUUUUAAUUUCAAAACUACCUAACUGAAUACCAAAGAAAAAAUGCACUCUUUUGCACAGUGAACUUUUUAUUUAAAUAGAACAGGCUGCUUUUAGACUAUUUUCAUCCCCAAAGGUCCUUUAUGUGUGGAGUAUUUCUAAUGCACCUUAGUCCAAAAGUAAAGCUUAGGAUACAUUUAAGAGUCCUCUUUUUGCUCUACCCACAUCCCCUAGUUUUGGGAAAUAAGCUUCCGGUUAUUAUUUUUAGUUUAAGGUGGUAGGGGUGGGGGGAAGGUUGAGUGAAGGGGAGCAAACCUCUGUUCUUUCCUGUUUGCUAAACAUCAGCAAGGCUGUGGAAGAAAGCCAAAUGUUAAACCAUGCAUACAUUCCAAAGUAGCUCCUGGAACACAGAACCCUAUUAGAAGUGGAACGGCAUCUUGAGGGCCUAAGCCAUCAAAGGCAACCAAGGUCAAGGUUAUGAUCCAAUUGAUAUUUAAACCAGUUUAGGUUUGCUAGACAUUCACAAAACUAUUGAUCCAGCCAUAAAGGCUAACUUGAGUGUAGUAGGUUGCUGUGAUCAAAGUAACAGGCUGGCCCCAGGAGAGAAGCAACUGAGGCGGAAUAGUCUGUUUGCAACGACCUUAGUCGUUUUCUUGUGAUGGGACCACUUCUUACCAGGACUAGAGUGUGGGAAAUGUAUGUGUGCUACUGUUUUCUAGAUUGUUUGUGGAGGGAUCAUGUGUUUGUAGGGAACAAUACUGUAAAAGAGUCCCUUCUUGUUUUUAAUAACUUGAUAAGCCUUGGUGAGACGAUCAGUGGAUGCAAUAUCUGUACUGAAAUCUUUGCACAGCUAAUGUUGAACCAUGACUUUAAUGGUAUUUUUGGUUCCCUUGCCAAGAAUGCUUUAAAAUUUCUCUGUGCCUCUAAGAUCAAGUGUACCAUUUUAGCUGCACCCAUAGACUGUAGACAUGUGAGCCCUCCUAAUAGGUGGAAGAUGAGGGAGACACCAAGGGAUGAAACUCUUUUACAGUAUUGGAUCUCAUUGUAUGCCAUUAAAAAUAGCUUGUUCUGGGCCUAAUGCUGUUUGCUAAUAAUAAUAAUAAUAAUAAUAAUGAAAAAAACUAUGGAGAUUUUGGGGCCCUGCCUGCCCUAUCAGGGGAUAGAUUGCAGGAAAGUGGCAUUUCCCAGAUAGGAUGGAAUUUACUUUAAGCAGAGUAGGUGGGUUCUAAACUGCAGAAAUUGGAUAGUGUAAACGAAGACAGGUUUGCUUGUUUUUCCUCUUACACCAGAUAGUUUAUAUACCAAGUACUGAAGCUACGUCUGCAAAAAAGUGGGGAGCUAAAUCUGCGUGGCAACCUGACUGGAGUCUCUGGGUCAGAGAAACCAUGAAAGCGAUUUUACAUUAGAUCACAAUGAAGAGUUUUACAACGAUAAAAGUGCCAACAGGUUACUUUUACAAGGUACAUCCACAUCAGGUCCUCAACCUGACAGAAAUGAAACAGAUUGGACAAAAUGCAUAUUUUGCCAAGAAGACAGUUCCGAUGUUCUUCAGUGUCCUGAUAAUUCCAAAAGAAAAGAUAAAGGUGCUGGUUACAAUAAAUAGGAGUGAUGCUUAUCUUCCUUUAUUUUGUUCUGUGCACUGUUUUGAUUUUUUUUUAGACUGGUUAAUUUUUCCAUUUUGAUAU